GCCCUCGUAGCUCAGUUGGAUAGAGCAGCCGCCUCCUAAGCGGCAGGUCGCAGGUUCAAUUCCUGUCGUGGGCGCCA
Molecule: transfer RNA, 77 nt
Filed under: Thiospirillum jenense
Lineage: Bacteria; Pseudomonadati; Pseudomonadota; Gammaproteobacteria; Chromatiales; Chromatiaceae
Description: tRNA-Arg
Rfam family: tRNA
About the family: Transfer RNA (tRNA) molecules are approximately 80 nucleotides in length. Their secondary structure includes four short double-helical elements and three loops (D, anti-codon, and T loops). Further hydrogen bonds mediate the characteristic L-shaped molecular structure. tRNAs have two regions of fundamental functional importance: the anti-codon, which is responsible for specific mRNA codon recognition, and the 3' end, to which the tRNAs corresponding amino acid is attached (by aminoacyl-tRNA synthetases). tRNAs cope with the degeneracy of the genetic code in two manners: having more than one tRNA (with a specific anti-codon) for a particular amino acid; and 'wobble' base-pairing, i.e. permitting non-standard base-pairing at the 3rd anti-codon position.
Source: RNAcentral